Coffea arabica (coffee) is the source of this 3951-nucleotide non-coding RNA. The record is from RefSeq and is a predicted model, not a curated record. NCBI's taxonomy places the organism in Eukaryota, Viridiplantae, Streptophyta, Magnoliopsida, Gentianales, Rubiaceae.
GAUGGAAAAUGAAUUAGUCUAUGCCUUAGGAAGGCUACCUGAUGAUCUUUGCUGGUCUAUCCUAAAAGAAAAAGUAGUUGGGGGGAGAAGUACCGUAUGAACUAGAGCAAUUAAAGAGAGAGUAAUCAAAAGAUGUGAUGGUCUACCAUUGGCUGCAAGUGUAAUCGGAGGUCUGCUACGUUUAAAGAGAAAAGAGGAGUGGCGAGUGGCAAUCAAUUUUGGAGAAUAGGCUUUUGAGUUUGAGUGCAGGUGGAGACCAUAUGGUGCAAAUACUUAAGUUGAGUUUUGAUAAUUUGCCAUCACCAGCCGUCAAGAAAUGUUUUGCAUAUUGUUCUAUUUUUCCCGAGGAUGCUGAGAUGGAAGGGAUGUGCUGAUCGAACUUUGGAUGGCAGAAGGUUUCCUCCAUGCAGGUCUCGAGAACAAAACAAUGGAGGAAAUUGGAGAAUAUUACUUGGAAAUUUUAUUGCAGAGUUCGUUGUUUGAAGAAAUAAGAGACGAUGUGGAAGGUAUUAUAAAAUGCAUGAUAUGGUGCACGACGUCGCAAAAUCAAUAAUGUCAAAGUCUACUAGAUUCAUUAAUUCGGGACUGGUUCAGGAGACUAUAGUAAUCAGGUUCGCUGUCUUGUAAUAGACUCAUUUGGAGAAGGCACAAUAAAUCUUCUUGAUAGUCGAUCAAAUUUGCUUCAUACAUUGUUUCUGAGUCAGGGUAGCUUAUCUGAUGAUAUGCUAAUGAAGUUGAAGAAUCUGCACGUUCUGAAUUUGUCCGGUGAAGAAAAUCAGAAUCUGCCAAUCUCAAUUGGCAAACUGAGACACUUGAGGUACAUCAACUUUGAGCGUUCUAGAAGUGAAACUUUGCCGGAAUCUGUUUGCAAACUUUAUAAUUUGCAGACACUGAGGCUAAAUAGUCACUUUCUUAAAGUUCUUCCGAAGGGGAUGUGCGAUUUGAUUAGCUUGAGACAUCUCCACUUUCACACCUUUGAUAAAAAAUUUCAAAUGCCGCUAGAGAUGGGACGGCUGACUUGCCUUCAGACACUAAAGUUAUUUAACGUGGGUCGAGAGAAGGGUCGACGAAUUGGAGAGCUUGGAAGCUUGAAGAACCUCAAAGGCAGUUUGAGGAUAUGGAAUCUGGAACUAGUAAAGGAUAAGGAAGGAGCUGAGGAAGCAAAACUAUCUGAAAAGGCAAAUCUAUUUAGUUGGUACUUAAGUGGGCAGAUGAUCGAGAAGGCGACGACUACAACGACGAAGAUGUGUUAGAUGGCCUUCGACCGCACCCAAAUUUGGCGGAAUUGGUAAUUAAGAAUUUUAUGGGUGAUCAAUUUCCUCGAUGGUUAAUGGAUUUGCCAACAACAACACUCCCCGAGUCAGCAAUAACACUCCCCGAGUUAGCGCGUUUGCGAUUUAUAGCUGCGACAGAUGCAGAGAACUCCUCCCCUGCAAAACUUUACGUCUCUUAAAGAGCUGGUGAUUGAUGAGUGCGAUGGGUUGACGAAUCUGCCCGGUGACAUGCUACACUCUUGUACCUCUCUCCAGAAGCUUCAGGUGACUGAUUGCGGCAAUCUUAUCUCCUUUCCGCUUGAUUUGCAACGAACGCCUCUCUUUUGGAGCUGGCAUUAUACAGGUGUCCCAAACUGAAAACAAGCAUGACGCCCAAAGGAUUUGGUUUCCUAACCAGCUUAAGGGAGCUUGAAAUUGGUCCCUUCUCAGAUGAUCAUGAAAAUUCUUCAAUUUACAAUGAGUUUGAUUGGUCUGGAUUGAUAUCCUCCUCCUCCUCCUCUUCGUCAUCCGCACUCCGUGAAUUAGAAUUAUAUGGGUUGUCACACAUGGAGUCCCUGCCACCUCAGAUCCAACACUUGACCACUCUCACGUCACUAUUGCUACGUGACUUUGGAGGUGUAGAAGCUCUGCCAGAUUGGUUCGGAAACUUCGCUGCUCUUGAAGAGCUGUGGUUAAUUGGUUUCGAAGAGCUUCGACAUCUACCCUCUGAGGAUGCCAUGAGAAGUCUCACCAAACUAAAACGUCUGGAGGUUUAUGGUUCUCCUCUGUUAAAAGAAAGAUGCACUCCUGAGAGCAGCGGCCCCGAUUCCCAGUGGUCCAAAGUUUCUCACAUUCAAGACCUAGACAUAAGUUGAUUAAUAACCAACUUUCAUCUUUGGAUCAAAUUCAAUCAUGAUUGAUAGAAGAAUAGCUUCACGAACAGAGGUUAGAAUUUUGAAGCUUCUUCAGCACCAACUAUAUGGCUAGACCUCAAUAACUUUUGGCCUGCAUUUCCUACAAAUAGCCUAUCAACGUUUCGAACAACUAGCAGUCUUGUUUUGUUUAUUUUACGUGAUCUGCUUCUGUGGAUUUUAAGUUAUUAAUGCUAAAGUCAUCUCACUCUAUUUAAAAUUGUGAUUUUAAGGGACUGAACUUUUACCUCUUGAUAAUGAACUUGCAUACUUAUCUGAACUAUUUGACUAGUAAUUGCUCCAUCCGAGUCAUAUAUGAUGGUUUUCUGGCUCACUUCUCCUUGAUUUUGGCUUUUUAGCCAUGAAGACAAUAGUCAAUUGAGGAGUUUUCGCAGCUGUUGGUCAUCACUUUCAUGUUUUGGUUUAAAAAUUCUGGUAAUUUUAGAUAUGCUUCUCUUCUUUCACUGCUCAAUUUUGACUUCUAACCACUUUAAUAUCUAAUCUAUUACGUAUGAAACAAAGGAAAUCUUGUCGUCAUGAAGAUAUUUUUGAGGUAGCCAAGGAAGGUGUGUACUGUUUGAGCAAUGAAGUUGCACAAAACUUGGUGGAGUAUCUUCCAACAUUCAACUCUAAGCGCAAUGUUUUGAAGCAUUCUGGUAGUUAGUCAAGUCUGCUUGUUGUGACUUGAUGAUCUUAAUGAAUCCACCUUGAUAGAGGCUUUUAAGCUCUCUCUGCUUUUAUGAUUGUUGGUUGCUUCUUUUUUUAUGUGAUUUUAGGGACAAAACUUAACUGGGAACCUCAUCGAUGGCUCUUAUUUACUGUCUUUACUUCUGCAAAGUCCUACAAUUCCUUUCCGGAUGGCAUUCUUUUUUUCUCUGUGCCUCAGAUGGCCAAAGUCUGAGAUAUCCAUUGGGUAUGGUUCUUUUAAACUGUCCAAAGGAUCCAGUGAUGUGUAGUCAUGAGAAUGAGGUGCUGAUAUACAUGUUGUAGAACUCAAUUUGCAUCUCCGGCAUACUGCUCAUAGUUAGAAGUUAGAACUAAAUGGUGUUUUGGUAGCAGUUAAACGUGGAUCUCUGUUGUGCCUUAGUAGCCUACAGCUCUAUUGUUCCUCAAUGCCUCAAUGUGAAAUGCUUUGCAUGCGCUACAAAUUGCCCAUUAUUAUUUUCAGUUUAUGAGUUGUAAUUACUUUGUGGUUGGAACCAAACUACUGUAAUUAUAAACACGACUCAGCCUCAAAUGUCAACCAAAAUCUUCAAUUGCUCUUACUUACUCAUUGAAUUGCCCAGCUUGUAACUUUCGAAAACUUUGUUGAAUCAAAUCCAGUUUCAAUUGGACAGAUAUGAUUAGGAUGGCACAGUACAGGCACACUUUUCUUUCUUCCUAGUGUCUAAAACCUGAUAAAAUGCUCUAUCUUCGUCAACUGGCCUCUAUAAACUGCUCACCAGAGUUUCUUUCCCCAAGUUAUGUAAUGUCUCUCAAGAUCAAGAGUCAUCAUUACCGUGAAUUUCUGCUGAUGAUCAUGGGCGGUUUGGUUGGUGAUAGAGAUUGUUUUAGAGAAACCGACUGACAAUGAGAAGCUUACAAAUUUUCAAGUGUUCAAGAGCAGAUUACUUGAUGUGGACAGUUAAGCCAUGUCAAAGCUGAAAACUUUACAUCUACGUAGUAAAGAUUUGAGGAGUUUUCAGAGCUGUUGGUCAUCAAAUUGGUGUCUGGUUCUAAGAGUCUGGUAAGUUCAGAUAUACUACUCUUCUUUUACUACUCAAAUUUGACUUUUAACUACUUUUAUU